AUUGAACGCUGGCGGCAGGCUUAACACAUGCAAGUCGAGCGGGGUGAUGGUGCUUGCACUAUCACUUAGCGGCGGACGGGUGAGUAAUGCUUAGGAAUCUGCCUAUUAGUGGGGGACAACAUCUCGAAAGGGAUGCUAAUACCGCAUACGUCCUACGGGAGAAAGCAGGGGAUCACUUGUGACCUUGCGCUAAUAGAUGAGCCUAAGUCGGAGUAGCCAGUUGGGGGGGUAAAGGCCUACCAAGGCGACGAUCUGUAGCGGGUCUGAGAGGAUGAUCCGCCACACUGGGACUGAGACACGGCCCAGACUCCUACGGGAGGCAGCAGUGGGGAAUAUUGGACAAUGGGGGGAACCCUGAUCCAGCCAUGCCGCGUGUGUGAAGAAGGCCUUAUGGUUGUAAAGCACUUUAAGCGAGGAGGAGGCUCUUUUGGUUAAUACCCAGAAUGAGUGGACGUUACUCGCAGAAUAAGCACCGGCUAACUCUGUGCCAGCCGCCGCGGUAA
Molecule: ribosomal RNA, 503 nt
Filed under: uncultured bacterium
Lineage: Bacteria
Description: partial 16S ribosomal RNA
Rfam family: Bacterial small subunit ribosomal RNA
Source: RNAcentral